GCGCGCAUGCGCCCAUGCGCGGCCUUGGCGGCUACUGUUACUACCUCUGGGCGGCGGUUGGGCCGGAACGGCUGGAGUUCGCGGGUGCCCAGCCGGGCGCUCCCUCAGCCCAGUUCGCCACGUCAGCGAGCGGCCAGAGCCGCAGAUGAUGACUGAGUCUCCGAGGCCUCUCGGUCUUUUUCUAUUUUAACAGGCGCGCGUGCAGAGCGUGUGGACGUUCACAACAGCUUCAGAAGAGAAAAGAAAAUCAGUGAUACAGCAAACAUGGAAUUCUAUUGCACAAAGGAAAUAAAGGGCAGUAGCCAGAAGUUGGAGGGGAGGGAACCACCCGGAUCCUCUAUCAGGAAAACUCCAGCCACAAUUGGUUUGCACUUUGCUUCUGAAAUCCUGAAACAUUUCAAUUUGGUAAAAAUAAAGAGGGUACAAUAUAUUCUGUGCUUUGAAAGGUUUGAGAGCACCACUUACUAGGAGAAACACACACAUGCAAAUGAAGAAUACACCCUGGCUAGAAUAAAAGAUAAAAUUUCAGACUUGUGGAUUUUUACAAUAAAAAUUUGAUACUGUUUUGUGCCAAAAUACAAAUCCCUAAUUAUUCUUUCUUGUUCAUUAUAGAAAGCAGUCUGAGCUACUGAGAAGACUGGGCUGAGAUGAGGAGAUCUGAGUUUUAGUUCUAGCUCUAUCACUAUGAAUAGCUUUUUGGGUCUCAGCUUUCUCUUCUGUGAAAUAGAGAGGAUAGUUGCUUUACCAACUUCAGAAAUACACAGAUAAAUAGAAAAUUC
Molecule: long non-coding RNA, 779 nt
Organism: Symphalangus syndactylus (siamang)
Lineage: Eukaryota; Metazoa; Chordata; Mammalia; Primates; Hylobatidae
Source: RefSeq, a predicted model, not a curated record